Molecule: small nuclear RNA, 18 nt
Filed under: Arabidopsis thaliana (thale cress)
Lineage: Eukaryota; Viridiplantae; Streptophyta; Magnoliopsida; Brassicales; Brassicaceae
Description: snRNA_16415
Source: RNAcentral
GUCUGACAUGUGUGCGAG